Molecule: ribosomal RNA, 301 nt
Filed under: uncultured bacterium
Lineage: Bacteria
Description: partial 16S ribosomal RNA
Rfam family: Bacterial small subunit ribosomal RNA
Source: RNAcentral
CAGUAGCCGCGGUAAUACGUAGGGUGCAAGCGUUAAUCGGAAUUACUGGGCGUAAAGCGUGCGCAGGCGGUUUCGUAAGACAGAUGUGAAAUCCCCGGGCUUAACCUGGGAACUGCAUUUGUGACUGCGAGGCUAGAGUGUGUCAGAGGGGGGUGGAAUUCCACGUGUAGCAGUGAAAUGCGUAGAUAUGUGGAGAAACACCGAUGGCGAAGGCAGCCCCCUGGGAUAACACUGACGCUCAUGCACGAAAGCGUGGGGAGCAAACAGGAUUAGAUACCCCCGUAGUCCCUGUCUCUUAUAC